RNAcentral lists this ribosomal RNA (253 nucleotides) under uncultured bacterium. Its description in RNAcentral is "partial 16S ribosomal RNA". It matches the Rfam family "Bacterial small subunit ribosomal RNA", at positions 524 to 776 of the family's 1533-position model. The record is from RNAcentral.
UACAGAGGGUGCGAGCGUUAAUCGGAAUUACUGGGCGUAAAGCGCGCGUAGGCGGCUUUGCAAGUCGGGUGUGAAAUCCCCAGGCCUAACCUGGGAACUGCAUUCGAGACUGCAUGGCUAGAGUAUCGGAGAGGGAAGUGGAAUUCCCAGUGUAGCGGUGAAAUGCGUAGAUAUUGGGAGGAACACCAGUGGCGAAGGCGGCUCACUGGACCGGUACUGACGCUGAUGCGCGAAAGCGUGGGGAGCAAACAGG